Molecule: transfer RNA, 86 nt
Filed under: Sciadococcus taiwanensis
Lineage: Eukaryota; Rhodophyta; Bangiophyceae; Cavernulicolales; Cavernulicolaceae
Description: tRNA-Ser
Rfam family: tRNA
About the family: Transfer RNA (tRNA) molecules are approximately 80 nucleotides in length.
Source: RNAcentral
AGGAGAAGUGGCAGAGCGGUUGAUUGCGGCAGUCUUGAAAACUGUUGAAUUAAAGAUUCCGUGGGUUCGAAUCCCACCUUCUCCUU